GAUGAAGAACGUAGUGAAAUGCGAUAAGUAGUGUGAAUUGCAGAAUUCAGUGAAUCAUCGAAUCUUUGAACGCACAUUGCGGCCAUAGGUAUUCCUUUGGCCAUGCCUGUUCGAGCGUCAUUUACACCCUCAAGCCUAGCUUGGUGUUGGGCGCCUGUCCCGCCGUUUUCGCGCGCGGACUCGCCUCAAAGUCAUUGGCGGCGGUCGUGCCGGCCCCCUCGCGCAGCACAUUUGCGCUUCUCGGAGGCCCGGCGGAGCCGCGCUCCAGCAAGACCUUUCACGACUUGACCUCGGAUCAGGUAGGGAUACCCGCUGAACUUAAGCAUAUCAAUAAGCGGAGGA
Molecule: unclassified non-coding RNA, 342 nt
Filed under: soil metagenome
Description: partial contains 5.8S ribosomal RNA, internal transcribed spacer 2, and large subunit ribosomal RNA
Rfam family: 5.8S ribosomal RNA (bases 1-120)
Source: RNAcentral